RNAcentral lists this ribosomal RNA (511 nucleotides) under uncultured bacterium. Its description in RNAcentral is "partial 16S ribosomal RNA". It matches the Rfam family "Bacterial small subunit ribosomal RNA", at positions 28 to 507 of the family's 1533-position model. The record is from RNAcentral.
GACAAACGCUGGCGGCAUGCCUAACACAUGCAAGUCGAACGGACAGAACAGGGAAGCUUUUCGGAGUGGAACUGGAAAGUUAGUGGCGGAUGGGUGAGUAACGCGUGGACAACCUACCUUGUAAAGGGGAAUAACCUCGAGAAAUCGAAGCUAAUACCCCAUAAUAACCUUGCUUCGCAUGAAGUAAGGAGGAAAGGCGGCCUUAGCGCUGUCGAUACAAGAUGGGUCCGCGUCUGAUUAGCUAGUUGGUGAGGUAAAGGCCUACCAAGGCGACGAGCAGUAGCCGGCCUGAGAGGGUGAACGGCCACAUUGGGACUGAGACACGGCCCAUACUCCUACGGGAGGCAGCAGUGGGGAAUCUUCCGCAAUGGGCGAAAGCCUGACGGAGCAAUGCCGCGUGAGUGAAGAAGGCCUUCGGGUUGUAAAACUCUGUCCUUAUCGAAGAGAGAGUGUUGUAGUAACUGACAAUACUAGGACGGUAGAUGAUGAGGAAGCCCCGGCUAACUAUGUG